RNAcentral lists this ribosomal RNA (84 nucleotides) under Aspergillus terreus. RNAcentral describes it as "partial 18S ribosomal RNA". Lineage: Eukaryota; Fungi; Ascomycota; Eurotiomycetes; Eurotiales; Aspergillaceae. The record is from RNAcentral.
UGUUGCUUCGGCGGGCCCGCCAGCGUUGCUGGCCGCCGGGGGGCGACUCGCCCCCGGGCCCGUGCCCGCCGGAGACCCCAACAU